UACGAACUGUGCGAACGUUAUUCGGAAUCACUGGGCUUACAGGGUGCGUAGGCGGCCUUUCAAGUCAGGUGUGAAAUCCCCCAGCUCAACUGGGGAACUGCGCUUGAAACUGGAGGGCUGGAGUCAGCUAGAGGUGCACGGAACUUCCGGUGGAGCGGUGAAAUGUGUUGAUAUCGGAAGGAACACCAGAGGCGAAAGCGGUGCACUGGGGCUGAACUGACGCUGAGGCACGAAAGCCAGGGGAGCGAACGGG
RNAcentral lists this ribosomal RNA (253 nucleotides) under uncultured Planctomyces sp. RNAcentral's name for it is "partial 16S ribosomal RNA". It matches the Rfam family "Bacterial small subunit ribosomal RNA", at positions 524 to 776 of the family's 1533-position model. The record is from RNAcentral. Lineage: Bacteria; Pseudomonadati; Planctomycetota; Planctomycetia; Planctomycetales; Planctomycetaceae.